UAGGGAAUCUUCCACAAUGGACGCAAGUCUGAUGGAGCAACGCCGCGUGAGUGAAGAAGGUUUUCGGACCGUAAAGCUCUGUUGUUGGUGAAGAAGGAUAGAGGUAGUAACUGGCCUUUAUUUGACGGUAAUCAACCAGAAAGUCACGGCUAACUACGUGCCAGCAGCCGCGGUAAUACGUAGGUGGCAAGCGUUGUCCGGAUUUAUUGGGCGUAAAGCGAGCGCAGGCGGAAGAAUAAGUCUGAUGUGAAAACCCUCGGCUUAACCGAGGAAUUGCAUCGGAAACUGUUUUCUUGAGUGCAGAAGAGGAGAGUAGAACUCCAUGUGUAGCGGUGGAAUGCGUAGGUAUAUGGAAGAAUACCAGUGGCGAAGGCGGCUCUCUGGUCUGCAACUGACGCUGAGGCUCGAAAGCAUGGGUAGCGAACAGGAUUAGAUACCCUGGUAGUCCAUGCCGUAAACGAUGAGUGCUAAGUGUUGGGAGGCUUCCGCCUCUCAGUGCUGCAGCUAACGCAUUAAGCACUCCGCCUGGGGGAGUACGACCGCAAGGUUGAAAC
This 554-nucleotide ribosomal RNA is filed under the name uncultured bacterium. RNAcentral's name for it is "partial 16S ribosomal RNA". It matches the Rfam family "Bacterial small subunit ribosomal RNA", at positions 355 to 900 of the family's 1533-position model. The record is from RNAcentral.